Molecule: long non-coding RNA, 427 nt
Filed under: Lathyrus oleraceus (garden pea)
Lineage: Eukaryota; Viridiplantae; Streptophyta; Magnoliopsida; Fabales; Fabaceae
Description: Pisum sativum (pea) long non-coding RNA (PSAT_LNC037424)
Source: RNAcentral
GACUUUGAGGGUGCUAUCUUUCUUUUGUUUUUUUUUCUUUUUUUUUUCUUUUGAUUUUGCUUUUGAUUUUGCUUUCUUUUGAUUUCUUUUGAUUUUGCACCCUCCUCUUUCUUUUUCUUUUUCUUUUUUUUCUUUUUGAUAAUGCCCCAGUUGGCUGUUCUGCUGAUUCUCGAGAUGCAGCUGAGUGAUCUUCUUCUCUUGCUCAAGAAGUCGGGAAAUACCGUCAGGAAUCCCUUCAACAUCAUCUUCUUCCGCUUCGAAUACAGGGAAUUCAAAAUUGGGAGAUGACGUCCGAUCAUUAUGCUCAAUGGGUUUGAGAAACAACCUGCAUAAAGAUUUUGAGUAUAAAAAGCACUUUGAAAAUCAAACAAGACAAUCGUUAUGCAGAUGAAAAGAUUGCUUUUAUUCUUGUUUUUAAGGGUUUUUG